GACGAACGCUGGCGGCGUGCCUAACACAUGCAAGUCGAGCGGAGAUUAUAGCAAUAUAAUCUUAGCGGCGGACGGGUGAGUAACGCGUGGGUAACCUGCCUUAUACAGGGGGAUAACACUGGGAAACUAGUGCUAAUACCGCAUAAUACAAUUGUAUGGCAUCAUAUAAUUGUCAAAGGAGUAAUCCAGUAUAAGAUGGACCCG
Molecule: ribosomal RNA, 204 nt
Filed under: uncultured Bacillota bacterium
Lineage: Bacteria; Bacillati; Bacillota
Description: uncultured Firmicutes bacterium partial 16S ribosomal RNA
Rfam family: Bacterial small subunit ribosomal RNA
Source: RNAcentral